Molecule: long non-coding RNA, 4489 nt
Filed under: Drosophila guanche
Lineage: Eukaryota; Metazoa; Arthropoda; Insecta; Diptera; Drosophilidae
Source: RNAcentral
CAUAAACACCAAAUAACAAAUUUCCAGCCCAUUUUUAGUUUGUCAAGCCAACGUCGCAUGUCAAGGUCUUAUUAAGCGUUCGAAAACUGGGGAGGUUCAAGUGCCUCGAGCAGCGAGCAACUUCUACUUCUCCAGCUGUUCCAAAGAAAAAGCCCCAAAACAAUUUCUAUGUGUGUGUUUGUUCAUAUCUGUGUCUGCUGCUUGUCGCUCUGUCUGUGUGCCAUUGACAUUGACUUAUGGCCGUGAUGGUAUACCCUACAUGGGCGGGGGGUCGCGGGGGGUUCUCGGUUCGACGUCGACCCUUUGACAAAAACUUUGUUUUGUCGCUUUUGUGCUCUGCUCUCUGCGUUCGUUCUCUCGCUUUUCGUUUCACUGCCUGCUACGCACAUUUAUGGUUUGUUUUGCUCUGACUACACACACACACACACACGCACACACAAGCGUAUACUCGAAUGGCCUACGCGAAGAAAGAGAAAGAAAGAGAUAAAGAAGAGAGAGAGGCAGAGAGGUAGAGAGAGAUGGAACGUCGUCUGGGAUGAUAAACGCUUCUUGCCUUUUUUGGCGGGGUCCAUGAAUGAAACAAUUGCCCUGAAUGACUGACUGGCAGACUGGCAGACUAGCAGACUGGCAGACUGAUUGCUACCAAUUGCCCACUGUGCCAUGCGAAGGUCGGAAAGGGUGGGCGUGGUGUGGGCGCAGAGCUGGGGAUGGGGAGAGGAAAGCCGCCAGCAAUAAACACUUUGCCACGACAAAAGUCUGAUGAUGGAGACGAUGAUGAACUAGAUUCUGGGGAUGAUGAUGAUGACGGCAAGGCUGAUGAUAAUGGAAAUGAUUUGGGGACCACCAUUCCGGCCCAUCCAUCCUUCAGUUGGAAUUCAGUGGGUCAGGUCAUUCGUGUGCUUACUUAUUACGGUGAGAGUGGAUAGAUAGUCGGUUAAAUCACAUUCAUUUUAGAAGGAUUCUUUUAUCAUUGAUAACAAAGAGUUUUCCUCUUAUUUCGACUGACUGGAAACCGCUGCACUAUUGAUGGGUGAGUGUCAAAACUAUUUUUAAUUACCGCCUAAGUUCAGCAUUUUGAAACUUCAAUAGAUGUAAUUAUGUUAACACUUUUUGCAAAUGCUCCCACGGCCCACGGGGCGUAUGCGCAAUGUACAUAGAUGCGCCCGGCUGGAAAUCGGUCACAUUACCACCUGGCUACUUAUUAGCGGCACUAAAUCAAGCCAAGACAGACCAGACCAGACCAUCCAGUUUACGAGCUGGAGUCGAAUUUUUCACAUGCGUAUAAAUCAAUCAGAUUGGUCCCAGAACGCCAGCCAGAGACCGGCCCCCGACAAAGACCCCGACCCCGACCCCGCCCCUGCUCUGACUCUGACUUCGGCCCAAGCUGAAUCAUAAACUGCAACAGCAAUGGACGAGCAGACGACAGCCAUAAAGUUAACUUUUACGACUGCCGACGCAUAAUUACGCACUCUCGCACCUACACGGACACGGCUGCACAGCCUCAGGGGCGGUUUUCGAUAUACACACACACAUAUACCCACCCCUCGCAUAGAGGUCUUCUGCAACUGCAAAAUGGCAAACAACCCGUCUGAUUUUCCUCCUCUUAUCCCAGUUUUGAUUGCGAUAUUCAGGACUCCUCCUGAUGCGGACAUAUGCAGGCGUGACUCGCCACCGGCCGCACAUAUGUGACACAUGUACAAUACUUACAGUGAACACUCCUAAGAGCGAACUGUCUACAUACGUUCAUGGCUUAUGGCUUCAUUUUCAUAUUUCAACAUCAAAUUUGAUGAGAUUUGCCCACAGAUCGGCUGACAAUAUGGCGAAUUCCACUCCAUGAUUUAUAUGCCGAUUCCUGGUGUGAUUGCUGGGAGGGAGGGUUUCCCUGCUAGACCCAUAAUGUAGCUGCAGGAAUGCUAGAGAUCGGAGAUGGGCAAAUUUACAUGUGAGGUUGCCACGCAUCCCAUUAAUUUUGAUGCCACGACGUUCACAGCAACCGAAGAGGCAGAGAUCUCAAUGUAUGGUGUCUAGUGUGGGUGGCCUUCGGAAUCAUCAAAUUGUCGAGCUCGUCUUGAACCCUGGAUUCUGUAGCUCUGACUGCAUAAAUUGCGAAGAGAUAGCCAGACACUGACAAGGGCAGUGGGGGCGGCAGAGGUCGUCUAAUUUGGUCAUUCAAAUUGCAGCUCAGACAAGAGGCAAUCAUGAUGGCUGCUGCUGCUGCUGCUGUUGCUCCGUGGAGCAUAAAUUGCACACUAAUUGUGUCUUUUGCUGUGCUCCGCUUUUGUUUGCCGGAGAUGCCACCGCAGACCCACCGCCACCCACUCGACAGCCCAGCCCUGGCCAUUAGUCGUUUUAAUAAAACAAAAUAAACUAAAACACAGUGGCUGGCUCUGUGCGCAAGUGUCGUGGCCAUCUUCAUCCACAGUCACAGUCCCAGCUCCAGCCUCAGCCCACUCUCUAUCUCAGUUUCAGUCCCAGUCUUGGUCUCUGUCUCUGGCUCUGUCAUCCUCCAAUGUGGCACCACUCCUUCUCUUCGCUGUCGUUGUCGCUGUCGCCAUCGUCCCAUGUUUAGUUUGGGUGUGAAAUCUAAUUUGAAAAGUUUGUGUAGUCAUUUUGAUGCCGGAGCGCACUCAACAGCAUAUGCUACCCGCCGCUCGGGUUUUCUUUUCUAAUUUUGUUUGCAAGUCAUUGACGCAAUAUUGCCCAGCUCCCCUGCCUCCUGCGCCCUCCGACAGCCAGCCACUCCUGUCCACCGGCUGCGACUCGAACAUUUUAUAGAAACCGCAGAGAGAGAGAGAACACAUUUGCCAGGCAUCGAACGUGAGCAUUCUGAAAUUUAAAUUAGACUUCAUAUCAAAUAGUUUCGGAGUGGAGUGGGUUCGCCUCAUGGGCAAAGGGGAAAGUGGUCUUGAAAUGUCAAAUAUUUCUACUAGAAGCAGAAGCAAACUUCAACCAGAGAAAUUUCAGCAGCCUUGAAAACAGAGAAUUAAAGAUUGGUCAAAUAUAGUAUUCUAAGAUCUACGGAUUUCCCACUAUGUCGCUCUCCUCCUUGUGAUAAUAGUGAAGAGAAAAUGCUGUCAAGUCACUUCUAGCUUCUAGUAGGAAUCAGGAUGUUCCAUUGGCAAAACCUUUGUUCGCACAAGAUGGCGGGGAGCAAAGUCAAUCCGAGGUGAAACAAAUUUAAAAACUAAAUUAAACUUCAAUUCGUGAGACAUAAUCCCUGAUGGGCGAUAAAGAAAUAUACGCGUAGGUCUUCGCUCGAGACUCCACAGAAAGGAACCGAAUGGAACAGAAUAAUUGAGAAGACAAAAAAAGAGCGAAAAGGGAAAACUCAUUUGAGAACUACGCCCCAAAGACAGCGAGGACGCAGAGGUGGCAAGUGCAGACGCGGCAGCGAUGCCAGGCAGGCAGGGUUCCCCCUGCUCGCUGGCAACUUUACCAUUGUUGCAAGGAACUGUGGGCUGUGGGUUGUGGGUGUGGUUCGGGCUGCUCACGAGCGUGGAAACAAUCAACUGAAAGCGUUGAUGGUGACGGCGUUGUGGUCCAGACCAGGUACAACAGCUGGGUGGGGCAGGGGGUUGUGGUUGUGGUUGGGCGAUGGCCAGGGUGGUAGUAGCAUGCGUCUGCUGGCAACAAUGGCAACAAUGGCGCAAUGGCGUCUGUAAUUCCGAGCAAUUGUUUCCGUUUUCUGCGCGACGCCGCGACUGUCCAUGGCAUCGGAUGCCACACAGGAGACUCAUCACCAGGAUUCGGCUCCAUUUCCAUCCGUUUAGCACCUUUGGCCAAGUUUCCAACGAUUUGCCAUAGAGUCACGUACCGCACUAUCGGUCGAUUUGGGGAACAAGAGAUUUCUGUUAGAUGCGCUGACUGUGGUGCUGGUGGGGGUGUUACGUCCAUCCCUUAGGAUGCUUUAGUGACUGCUCCACACGGCUCGUUGCUUCUGCAAAUUGUCGCACAUUCUUAAGGGAGAUUCAGCAGGGAGACACUCCAGGCCCAACUAUCCCAAAACCUGAACCUGAAACUGAAUCCGCCCUUGGCGCUCGUUAUGUGGGCGGAUGCGUCUACGUCUUUCUGUCUGUCUGUCCCUCUCUGUGCACGUCCUCUGGGAAUCGGUCGGGGCAGGGAGGCAGCAUUUUGCAUUGGAAUUUGCUUUGCCGAAUGCCGCCAUUUAGGGUUGUGCCAAUAAAAAAAUGAUAUUUAUGGAUGUAACGGCCGUUUUGUGUGUACGCCUUCCCUCACCCUCAUCCACUCCGGCCACAUCCCCUCACACCCACGCGGCCGACAAGCCCACCAGCCCCACAAGCCACAAACAAACGAUGGCCGAGCACAGUGGGCGCAAUCAAUGCAUUUAUUGACAGAAAGACAACGUAUCGAGGUCGCUCGCUGUUAGCUCGGAGAGUCAUUUAUAAUUAUUACACAUAUACAGAGUGCAUUAUUGUAUAAUAAAUCAAUGGGAUAGCCAAAGGCAUCUUCUGUUUGCCUCAUAUAAAAU